RNAcentral lists this long non-coding RNA (1088 nucleotides) under Monodelphis domestica (gray short-tailed opossum). Its description in RNAcentral is "lncRNA (ENSMODG00000045555.1)". The record is from RNAcentral. Lineage: Eukaryota; Metazoa; Chordata; Mammalia; Didelphimorphia; Didelphidae.
CUCGCGAUAAGCCGACUGUUGCCAAAGGGAGGAAAGCGGGCCGCCCGCCCGCCAUCAGUGUUUGGUCUAGACAAGACGGCUGCAGUACAGAAGCCACCCCUGGAUCUUCUGAAGAGAUCGAAUUUAGAUAAGGUUCGGGGCCUGCCAAAGCUCUGUGGUUCUGCUCGGGAGAUCUGGAAAAGUGGUUAAGGGCGACGUUUGACCUCGAUGCCGGGUAAUAGAGCUCCUCCGAUACACAGAUGGACGCGAGAGCUUCUGAGACCCGAAUUCAGCCCCCAAAGCCCAGCCCAACCCCCGACUCCUUUCUGAGCUUGUAUCAAAUCACCUUUUGAGCCCCUGACGUUUCUAACAGCCUGUCCAGGAAGGGAGACCUCCCUCGGCGACCAGAAUCAGGAGACCUUCCUCCUACCUGCUAUACAUGCAAAAAGAACAUUCAGGGAGCCUCCCAGAGCAAGGGAGAAUGACCGCAAUCAGUGGAGGGGAGCAACGCAUCCUGGGCCCCUUUGACCAAAAAACGUUUAAAGUGCUUCCUGACUCCGAGUUCUUUCUCUGGAUGUGGAGAACAUCUUUCUCAUAAGUCCCUCAGAAUUGCCCUGGAUCAUUGCAUUGCUGACGAGCCUCUUUCAACAUAGCUAGACUAGUUGUCUAUCAGCACAACGGGGCUGCUCCAUUUGAAAUCAAACAAUCACAAUGCUGAACAGUCAUAGGGAAGAAGUCGAGAAGAAGACAUAAAUGGCUGCAUGUAGAACACCCUGCAUCCAUUUGGUCAACAAUUUGGCCACGUGGUAUGAAAGUUUGCAGAGAACAGAGGUUGAAGUUGGACUUGGAGAACUUCAUGUCCGUGGUGUGACCGCACAUCAAGAGAAGAGACAAUUUAAUCUGCUAGUUGGUAAAAGGAGAGAAGAAAGGGAAGAAUUUGGAUGAGUUUUCCUGCUGGAAAGCUGUGUCCAAGGCCCGUUGCCAUUGCUGUAUUUUUGUUUAGAUCAGGGUUCUGGACCCCUCUGGCAAUCUGGUCAUGUUUAUGGACCAUUUCUUAGAGCAGUUUUUAAAAGCAUAAAAUAAAAUAUGUAACAUUACAAAAUAAUCCA